CGGUUAAAGAGCGGCGGACGGGUGAGUAACGCGUGGGUAACCUGCCCUGUACACACGGAUAACAUACCGAAAGGUAUGCUAAUACGAGAUAAAAUACUUUUAUCGCAUGGUAGAAGUAUCAAAGCUUUUGCGGUACAGGAUGGACCCGCGUCUGAUUAGCUAGUUGGUAAGGUAACGGCUUACCAAGGCGACGAUCAGUAGCCGACCUGAGAGGGUGAUCGGCCACAUUGGAACUGAGACACGGUCCAAACUCCUACGGAAGGCAGCAG
RNAcentral lists this ribosomal RNA (269 nucleotides) under uncultured bacterium. Its description in RNAcentral is "partial 16S ribosomal RNA". It matches the Rfam family "Bacterial small subunit ribosomal RNA", at positions 85 to 354 of the family's 1533-position model. The record is from RNAcentral.